RNAcentral lists this ribosomal RNA (491 nucleotides) under uncultured bacterium. RNAcentral describes it as "partial 16S ribosomal RNA". It matches the Rfam family "Bacterial small subunit ribosomal RNA", at positions 29 to 507 of the family's 1533-position model. The record is from RNAcentral.
GUGAACGCUGGCGGUAGGCCUAACCCAUGCAAGUCGAACGGCAGCACAGUAAGAGCUUGCUCUUACGGGUGGCGAGUGGCGGACGGGUGAGGAAUACAUCGGAAUCUACUUUUUCGUGGGGGAUAACGUAGGGAAACUUACGCUAAUACCGCAUACGACCUACGGGUGAAGGCAUGGGAUCUUCGGACCUUGCGCGAUUGAAUGAGCCGAUGUCGGAUUAGCUGGUUGGCGGGGUAAAGGCCCACCAAGGCGACGAUCCGUAGCUGGUCUGAGAGGAGGAUCGGCCACACUGGAACUGAGACACGGUCCAGACUCCUAAGGGAGGGAGCAGUGGGGAAUAUUGGACAAUGGGCGCAAGCCUGAUCCAGCCAUACCGCGUGGGUGAAGAAGGCCUUCGGGUUGUAAAGCCCUUUUGUUGGGAAAGAAAAGCAGCAGGUUAAUACCCCGCUGUUCUGACGGUACCCAAAGAAUAAGCACCGGCUAACUUCGUG